This is a non-coding RNA of Podarcis lilfordi (Lilford's wall lizard), 75 nucleotides long. The record is from the annotation of a GenBank genome assembly. NCBI's taxonomy places the organism in Eukaryota, Metazoa, Chordata, Lepidosauria, Squamata, Lacertidae.
UGCUGAAUAGAUCAGUCGGUAGAGCAUGAGAUUCUUAAUCUCAGGGGUUGUGGGUUCAAGUACCACAUUAGGCAA